This is a long non-coding RNA of Schistocerca americana (American grasshopper), 394 nucleotides long. RefSeq lists it as uncharacterized. The record is from RefSeq and is a predicted model, not a curated record. NCBI's taxonomy places the organism in Eukaryota, Metazoa, Arthropoda, Insecta, Orthoptera, Acrididae. The transcript has 3 exons.
GGUCUGUGUGGCGUUUAGUACAGAUUUGAUAACGGAGUGCACGGAGAACCUGUAGAAGUAAACUGACUGUAGUCCAAAGGACUCCUUCGCUGCCGACGUCGACACCGCCACUGCCACAUCUGCGUUCGCUGAGCGAGACGUGCGUGGACGACGCUGACGCUGACGGCCAGUAGCCGAGGUCAGCUCAGCGGCGGUUGAAGCGAGCUGACUCAGCGGGCUGCCCAGCAGGGCAGGGCGCGCCACAGGGGAAGAAUGCGGGGCGAUGGUAGCCAGGCGGCGGCUAGUCGCCGCGCUGCUGCUGGCGCUGCUGGCGGUGUGCGCGAUGGGAGAGGAGAGCAACCGCGGGCCCAACUGCUCUUGCAGCGCUGAGGACGCGCGCCUGAGCGGCGUGCAG